AACACAAACCCCGGCGCUGAAUGCGUCAAGGAAUUUUAAAUUUGCUCUGAGCGCACCUGCAUGGCACCGGAGACGGUUUUCGUGCGGGUUGUGCUCUGACCCAUAAUAUAGAAUGACUCUCGGCAACGGAUAUCUAGGCUCUUGCAUCGAUGAAGAACGUAGCGAAAUGCGAUACUUGGUGUGAAUUGCAGAAUCCCGUGAACCAUCGAGUCUUUGAACGCAAGUUGCGCCCGAUGCCAUUAGGUUGAGGGCACGUCUGCCUGGGCGUCACAUAUCGAAGCCUCUUGACAAUUUCCUUUUGAUAGGUAUUGUGCAGGGGUAAUGUUGGCCUCCCGUGAGCUCCAUCGUCUCAUGGUUGGUUGAAAAUCGAGACCAUGGUAGGGUGUGCCAUGAUAGAUGGUGGCUGUGUUACGCACGAGACCAAGUCAUGUGCUGCUCUAUUGAAGUUAGCCUCUUUUACCCACAUGCGUUUCUAAACGCUCGUGAUGAGACCUCAGGUCAGGCGGGGCUACCCGCUGAAUUUAAGCAUAUCAAUAAGCGGAGGAAAAGAAACUAACAAGGAUUCC
This 566-nucleotide ribosomal RNA is filed under the name Trifolium lanceolatum. RNAcentral's name for it is "eukaryotic LSU rRNA". The stretch from base 115 to 270 matches the Rfam family "5.8S ribosomal RNA". The record is from RNAcentral. Lineage: Eukaryota; Viridiplantae; Streptophyta; Magnoliopsida; Fabales; Fabaceae.